Lactuca sativa (garden lettuce) is the source of this 311-nucleotide long non-coding RNA. RefSeq lists it as uncharacterized. NCBI's taxonomy places the organism in Eukaryota, Viridiplantae, Streptophyta, Magnoliopsida, Asterales, Asteraceae. The record is from RefSeq and is a predicted model, not a curated record.
UUUGGCAAUCAGAUGUACUUGACUUUCCGGAAGAAUCCAAUAACACAUCAUUGGCUGCUACAAGGGUGUAUUUUUGAUUCAAACGUGUAGCAGCUGCAUCGAUUAGAGUAUCAUAUUAGAAUAAUAUUAAAAGAAAAAGAAAAAAAAUUGGGCCUUGAACUUACGUGACAUGCCAAUUCCAGCGAGGAUCUUUCCAUUUCCAAGUGUCAAGUGGUUUUUAUAUCUCCGAUCAUCAACAGCUGCAGCUACAGAUGCGAUCCAAGGGCUGUAAGACACUAACGUUUUUGAAAAAGGGCCUCCGUUUCCGGCUG